Long non-coding RNA from Myotis myotis, 489 nucleotides. RefSeq lists it as uncharacterized. Lineage: Eukaryota; Metazoa; Chordata; Mammalia; Chiroptera; Vespertilionidae. The record is from RefSeq and is a predicted model, not a curated record. The transcript is spliced from 5 exons.
AGCCAUGCUAAGAACAGCGAGGAGCUGGCAGCUCACACAGACCUUCGACUGCAUUCAGCACUUUCCCUGGAGCUGUGACUCAGCAGGAUCCGGAAAGGUAAACAAUUUUAAGUUUUUCUAUGAAAAGAUGCUCAGCUGUUCCUGCAUUUGGUGAUGCCUGCACAGUCCAAGGCCACCUCGAGGGAAAUAACUAGAUCUAGAAGGGACUUGGAGAAAUGACCUUCAGUGAAGCCCUCUUUGUCAAGAGAGUGAAGCCAUGAAGAUAUUCUCCUCAGGGAAUUCUGGUUCUGUCCUCUCCUGAUUCAACCUUGUCAUCCAAAAGGACUCAGAUAAAUCAGGAAGGAGGAUGCUGAUGAGGAAGAAAAGAUGAACAGCAAAAUGGAGAGACCAAGGGACUUGCAGAGAGAGAGAGCUCUCAUAAUCAGAAGACAGCAAGGCAGUUCAAAUUUCUCAGCUUCAGCCCAGUCACUACCCUUCAUCAGAAAUCGC